This is a long non-coding RNA of Trichosurus vulpecula (common brushtail), 918 nucleotides long. RefSeq lists it as uncharacterized. NCBI's taxonomy places the organism in Eukaryota, Metazoa, Chordata, Mammalia, Diprotodontia, Phalangeridae. The record is from RefSeq and is a predicted model, not a curated record. The transcript is spliced from 2 exons.
GGAGAAAGAGGAGGAGAAGAGGAGGAGGAGGAUAGGGUCACGAGGAGGGUGCCCCUGGAUGAGCUCGGAGGCCCGGUCGGGCUGGCUCGGCCCCUGCCCCUCCCUUUCCUCUAGCGCGGCCUGAAAGCCCGGGGCCACGGGAGCCCUCCCCACACCCCCAGCCCGGCGCUUGUGGCUGUGGCCGUGGCCUCUGACCCCACUGGCUGAAAGCGCGUCCCCGGCACUCGGGCCUGCAGGGGCGCUCGCCUUUGUCUCUCGAUCCCCUCUGCCCCUUUCUUCCCCCAGCAGACGGGGAGAGCUCCUUAGGAGAGGAAGCUGCGCUGCGCUGGCCCAAUGGGUCGGUAAGGCCUUCAGGACCGCCUUCCAGAGAUGGGGCACCGUGAGAACCCCUGCAGCCGCCCUGGACUCGGAACGUCGGGACCUGCGGCUGAUUCUCUUCUCCGCCUUCGCGGACGCCUGGCCGAGCACAGCCAGGACCAUGCUCAAAACCACUCCCUGCCUGGAGCACCGAGUACAUAGGGCGUCCCCCCUCCUCCUCCGCACCUUGCGGCAGAUUGACGGGAGGACCGAGAAGAGAGGCACAGGAUGGGUGGGCGUGAUAGAGCUGCAGUCUGCAUCAUUGGGAGAAUGUACCUACCCGCGUUGAGAUGACAGAUCCAUUGGGGCGUUGGAGGAUGUGCGUAAUCUAGAUAGACAGAGGGGAGAAUCGGUGGCCUGGGAGUGAAGCCCAAGUCACCACCUCCCUGAGCCUGCCUACCUCACAGAACAAUGUGGUGCGGAAAGUUCUGCCUAAAACCUAAAAGCCCCAUAUAAUUGGGUAGUUAUCGUUAAUGUGCAUGUGUGAGUGCCAACAUUUAAUCAGCAUCAAUCCAACCCUAAUGAAAAAGAUUGUAGUAACUAAACAUUGGAUAUAAAAAA